Molecule: transfer RNA, 65 nt
Filed under: Dipodomys ordii (Ord's kangaroo rat)
Lineage: Eukaryota; Metazoa; Chordata; Mammalia; Rodentia; Heteromyidae
Rfam family: tRNA
About the family: Transfer RNA (tRNA) molecules are approximately 80 nucleotides in length. Their secondary structure includes four short double-helical elements and three loops (D, anti-codon, and T loops).
Source: Rfam by way of RNAcentral
GGUGGCUCAGUGGUAUAGUGCUUGCCUCGAAUGCAUGAGGCCCUGGGUUCGAUUCCUAAGCACCA